This 63-nucleotide transfer RNA is filed under the name Hyalurgus flavipes. RNAcentral's name for it is "tRNA-Arg". Lineage: Eukaryota; Metazoa; Arthropoda; Insecta; Diptera; Tachinidae. The record is from RNAcentral.
GAAUAUGAAGUGAUACAUCACAAUUAGUUUCGACCUAACUCUAGGUAAAUUUACCCUUAUUCU